GUCGAACGGUAACAGAUCUUCGGAUGCUGACGAGUGGCGAACGGGUGAGUAAUACAUCGGAACGUGCCCGAUCGUGGGGGAUAACGCAGCGAAAGCUGUGCUAAUACCGCAUACGAUCUACGGAUGAAAGCGGGGGACUCGCAAGGGCCUCGCGCGGACGGAGCGGCCGAUGGCAGAUUAGGUAGUUGGUGGGAUAAAAGCUUACCAAGCCGACGAUCUGUAGCUGGUCUGAGAGGACGACCAGCCACACUGGGACUGAGACACGGCCCAGACUCCUACGGGAGGCAGCAGUGGGGAAUUUUGGACAAUGGGCGCAAGCCUGAUCCAGCCAUGCCGCGUGCAGGAUGAAGGCCUUCGGGUUGUAAACUGCUUUUGUACGGAACGAAAAAGCCUUCUUUAAUAAAGGGGGUGAAUGACGGUACCGUAAGAAUAAGCACCGGCUAACUACGUGCCAGCAGCCGCGGUAAUACGUAGGGUGCAAGCGUUAAUCGGAAUUACUGGGCGUAAAGCGUGCGCAGGCGGUUAUGUAAGACAGAGGUGAAAUCCCCGGGCUCAACCUGGGAACUGCCUUUGUGACUGCAUAGCUGGAGUGCGGCAGAGGGGGAUGGAAUUCCGC
RNAcentral lists this ribosomal RNA (616 nucleotides) under uncultured bacterium. RNAcentral describes it as "bacterial SSU rRNA". It matches the Rfam family "Bacterial small subunit ribosomal RNA", at positions 61 to 672 of the family's 1533-position model. The record is from RNAcentral.